UAGUUUUUGAGUUAAAAUUCUUAGAUGUUUUUAUGGGACGAGAAGACCCUAUAGAGUUUGACAUUUAGUAUUUCUUUUAUUUUUGUGGUUUGUUUAUUUCUUUUGAGUUUAUUGGGUGUUUUGUUGGGGUGAUGGGAGGAAUAAAAUUUAACUCCUCUUUGAUUUUUUAUAUUUAUUUAUAUUUAUUUUGAUCCAUUUAUUUUGAUUAUAAGAUUAAAUUACCUUAGGGAUAACAGCGUUAUCUUCCUUGAGAGUUCUUAUUGGCAGGGAGGUUUGCGACCUCGAUGUUGGAUUAAGGUGAAUUUUCGGUGCAGGAGCUGAAAAUGAUUAGGUCUGUUCGACCUUUAAAAUCUUACAUGAUCUGAGUUCAGACCGGCGUGAGCCAGGUUGGUUUCUAUCUAUAAUAUAAUUUUAUACCUUAGUACGAGAGGACCGGGUAUUUGAAAUAAUUUUAUUUUAUUAUGAUUUUUAUUAAUUUGUU
Molecule: ribosomal RNA, 481 nt
Filed under: Microcerotermes papuanus
Lineage: Eukaryota; Metazoa; Arthropoda; Insecta; Blattodea; Termitidae
Description: partial 16S ribosomal RNA
Rfam family: Bacterial large subunit ribosomal RNA (bases 31-404)
Source: RNAcentral